CUCACACACACACACUCAGUACCUGUGGAAAUGAGUCUGCAGAAGCCAGCAGGACGUUUUCGGGUUUAAGAUCACAGUGGACGAUGUUCUUGAAGUGGAGGUGACGCAAAGCCACCAGGAUCUGACGACGAUGCCAAACUGUCCUGAGCCGAGAACCUCGUCCGGGAAGAUCUGAUACACGGAGUUGAUAUCCUGAAGAACAGAAAAGCAAGCGAGUGCCCAUCAGUCAUUCACACCCACUGCCAAAGAGGCCAAGACUGAAACCUUACAGUCUGCAAACACUGGACGCUGUGGCUUGACAAAUAUCAUCACACAGUGCUGUGAGAGCUGUGGGAAAUCCCUGUAGAGACGGCCGGCAUCAGAGCGUGCUGGAUGGCCAUCUCCCACAUCCGAGCCACAUCCUGCCCCACUCCGCUGACCUGAAACGUGACAGGAAACAAGUCGUCUGUGAUUAACUUGUGGCCCCUAAAAGGGACAAACCUUUCUUCCUAUUGCACAUGUUCAGUGGGUCCUGACAGCUAGGGACAUCUGGAGGUGGAGGUGUAUCUACACUACAUGAGAGAGAAAGGUGAUUGCAGGAGGAGUUGGACUGGGCUAACGGAAGAAGGUGACGGAUCAUGUGAUUCACCAGAACGCUGCUGCCGGUCACAGACGGUUCAGCUCUCUGCAGGUUCUCUCCAACGUAGUAAACCAGUGAUGCUGUUUCUAUCUCAAAGCAGUGAGGAUUGGCUCCGUCGGGAAGCAGAGAGAAAGUCUGAGCCGGUUCCAGAGACAAGAUCUCUGACAGAGGGAUCUCCUGCAGAGACGUGAGCAAUGGAGGGCAAAGAAAAAACUAUCAGGACCCUCUGAG
Molecule: long non-coding RNA, 850 nt
Organism: Scatophagus argus
Lineage: Eukaryota; Metazoa; Chordata; Actinopteri; Scatophagidae
Exons: 3
Source: RefSeq, a predicted model, not a curated record